CGGUCGCACUGAAAUUCCGUCACAAACAUUGCCAAGAAUCGACGUGAUUGCGGACAAAAUUUUGUUUUUGCACUUGCUUGAAAAUUUCGCCUCCAUCGACGAGCGCAGCGAUUGGGCCUGAUAUAUACCGCAUAUAGCCGUCUACGCCGCAAUUGUGCAACGGAUAACGAGAAUACGCGAAGAGCAGGCGUGCGAACGGGGAAAGCGCAGGGAAAAUGGGAAAAACUCCCACUUCGCCAGCGAACGAAAGGAAAGGGGAAAUUGUGUGAUGUCAUUUCGGCUGUUUCUUUUCGAGUUAAUUGAAACAACUUCCUGCGCUGCGUUUUCAGUUUCUGCUGCCAACUGUUUUAUACGCGCCUAUGUGUGCGUGCGGCAGUGCGCUGGUGUGUGUGUGUGACUUACAUACGUAUAUAAAUAUAGUGCAGAAUUAUUUGCCGUUAAAAGCCCACGGUUAAUUGGUCAUUAAGCGCUGUUUAAUUUACUAAUUUAGCGCGGUGAGAGAAGAGAGGAGAAAACCCGCAGCAAUAUCAUUCCGCACACACACACACGUUCGCAUUCACACGGAAAAGAGAAAAGGUGAAACGCACGCACACACACGCAAAAAGCACACCGCGAGUGGAGUUGUGUGAGUGUGGGGUUUCGAUAAAAAUAAUAAAUAAGAAAAAGCACUGAAGUACAACACAACAGUGCGGCAUAAACAAAUCGACUUCUAUCGAUUUCCCUCCAAAACAUAAAAUUGUAUCGAAAAGAUUCCGCCCAGGAUAGAAGCAACAACAGCAACAACGAGGAGAUUCACCUGCCACGCCCACGGGCAGCUGUACCGUCCACCUACACCUACAACACCACCACCACCACCACCCCUUCCCCGACCACUAAGGACACCAUCCAUCCAUCAUCAUGUCCAGCGGCAGCAACACGGACAACGGCCCAUCGGCGGGCCAAUCUGUGCAGGAUCUGCAAAUGGAGGUGGAGCGCCUCACGCGCGAACUGGACCAGGUGUCCUCCGCCAGCGCCCAGUCCGCCCAAUACGGACUGUCCCUGCUGGAGGAGAAGUCCGCCCUGCAGCAGAAGUGCGAGGAACUGGAGACGCUCUACGACAACACGCGCCACGAGCUGGACAUCACACAGGAGGCGCUGACCAAGUUUCAAACCUCACAGAAAGUGACCAACAAGACGGGCAUCGAGCAGGAGGACGCUCUGCUGAACGAAUCCGCAGCUAGGGAGACAUCGCUCAACCUCCAAAUCUUCGAUCUGGAGAACGAGCUUAAGCAACUGCGCCAUGAGUUGGAAAGGGUUCGCAACGAGCGCGAUAGGAUGCUGCAGGAGAACUCGGAUUUUGGGCGGGACAAGAGCGACAGCGAGGCGGAUCGCCUGCGCCUCAAGUCCGAGCUGAAAGAUCUUAAGUUUCGGGAGACGCGUAUGCUCAGCGAAUACUCGGAGCUGGAGGAGGAGAACAUAUCGCUGCAAAAGCAGGUAUCCAGCCUGCGCAGCUCACAGGUGGAGUUUGAAGGUGCCAAACACGAGAUCCGUCGUCUCACUGAGGAAGUUGAGCUGUUGAAUCAACAGGUCGACGAGCUCGCAAAUCUUAAGAAGAUUGCCGAGAAGCAAAUGGAGGAAGCGCUAGAGGCCUUGCAGGGUGAACGUGAGGCGAAAUAUGCAUUGAAGAAGGAGCUGGAUGGCCACUUGAACCGUGAGUCUAUGUACCACAUCAGCAACCUCGCCUACAGCAUACGCAGCAACAUGGAAGACAACGCCAGCAACAACUCGGACGGUGAGGAGGAAAAUCUGGCUCUAAAGCGUCUGGAGGCUGACCUGAGCACCGAACUUAAAUCUCCUGACGGCACCAAAUGUGAUCUCUUCUCGGAGAUUCACCUGAACGAACUAAAGAAACUGGAGAAGCAGUUGGAAAGCAUGGAAAGCGAGAAGACUCAUCUGACGGCGAAUUUAAGGGAAGCUCAGACGAGUCUGGACAAGUCACAAAACGAGCUGCAGAACUUUAUGUCUCGUCUGGCUCUUCUUGCGGCCCAUGUCGAUGCUCUAGUCCAGCUAAAGAAGCAGAUCGAUGUGAAAGAGCAGGGCAAGGAAGGUGACCAGAAGAAGGAUGAACUGGAGCAGCAGCUGCGGGCGUUAAUCUCGCAGUACGCCAACUGGUUUACGCUCUCCGCCAAGGAGAUCGAUGGCCUUAAGACUGACAUUGCUGAACUUCAGAAGGGACUCAACUACACGGACGCCACCACUACGCUGCGCAACGAGGUGACCAACCUUAAGAACAAGCUUCUUGCUACGGAGCAAAAGUCACUGGACCUGCAGAGCGAUGUUCAAACUCUGACGCACAUCUCGCAAAACGCUGGCCAAAGUCUGGGCUCAGCUCGCAGUACUUUGGUGGCCUUAAGCGACGAUCUGGCGCAGCUGUAUCACCUAGUUUGCACAGUCAACGGAGAGACACCAACGCGUGUUCUGCUCGAUCAUAAGACCGAUGACAUGAGCUUUGAAAACGAUUCUUUGACUGCCAUCCAGUCGCAAUUCAAAUCGGAUGUCUUUAUUGCCAAGCCCCAGAUCGUCGAGGAUCUGCAAGGCUUGGCGGAUUCCGUGGAAAUUAAGAAGUACGUGGAUACAGUCAGUGAUCAGAUCAAGUAUCUGAAGACGGCUGUUGAGCAUACCAUUGAUUUGAAUAAACACAAAAUCCGCUCCGAGGGUGGCGAUGCCCUGGAGAAGGUUAACACAGAGGAGAUGGAGGAACUGCAGGAGCAGAUAGUCAAGUUGAAGAGCCUGCUGUCCGUGAAGCGCGAACAGAUUGGAACUCUGCGCAACGUGCUCAAGUCAAACAAGCAAACCGCUGAGGUGGCACUGACCAAUCUCAAGUCCAAGUACGAGAACGAGAAGAUCAUUGUCAGCGACACCAUGUCCAAGCUGCGUAAUGAGCUCAGGCUUCUUAAGGAGGAUGCAGCCACAUUCUCAAGCCUGCGUGCCAUGUUCGCCGCUCGAUGCGAGGAGUAUGUGACCCAGGUGGACGAUCUCAACCGCCAAUUGGAGGCAGCAGAGGAGGAGAAAAAGACCCUAAAUCAGCUGUUGCGCUUGGCAGUCCAGCAGAAGCUGGCACUCACUCAGCGACUCGAGGAGAUGGAAAUGGACCGGUGGGUGCACUUGGGUCGUUAAACGUCAGCUGCAUCAACACUCGCAGUCACAAGCAAAAACACAUACAUCCUUUUAUUGAUUAGGGCUCCCAAUAUCCUUGUUUUCCCCUGAAACUUCCUUAAGAAUCCAGCAAUUGCGAAAUGCGCCACGUCCGUCGGCCGAUGCCUGCCCAGCGUGGCACGAGCGGCAAGUCCUCCUUCAGCACGAGGCCUUCGAGCAGGAAUCCAGC
This is an RNA transcript of Drosophila mauritiana, 3364 nucleotides long. It is a transcript of the gene named protein bicaudal D, with no coding region annotated. NCBI's taxonomy places the organism in Eukaryota, Metazoa, Arthropoda, Insecta, Diptera, Drosophilidae. The record is from RefSeq and is a predicted model, not a curated record. The transcript has 8 exons.